ACGACCUGCACCACCAACCGGAUAGGAGUUUGGAAGCGAAAUCAUCGAGGUCAAGUGAGGGAGAGGACGGUUAGGGCAUUCUUCUCUGGCACUUAGUGGAAAGGUUUUAGAUAAGCUGACAGCAAAUUUGAACUCAUAACUGAGCUGGAAAAGAAAGGAAGAUGCUUCUGAUAAACAACUGCGCGCAGCUUGGUAGUCAGGUGGUGAUGACUAGAUUGGGAAGAGAGUUGGUUGGUCUGGAAAAAAAACGCCCAAUGCCCUUGCAUAUAUUACAAUUUACAGAGCUACAUUAAUAGUGUCUGUCAGUACACAUCAUCUGAAUGGACAAAACUUAAGGACAACAAACAAGAAGCCAUCAACAUUUUCUAAUUUGAAUUCGACAAGGUACCUCUUUGUUUACUAUCCUGCAAGGCUUUUACUGCCAUGCAAAACUGCUAUUAAUAAUGAAUCCCUGCAAAACUUUGCAUAAAAAAUAAAUUUGGUUCAUGUAAAGAGCAAUAUUUGUGUUAUGUUAAGCAUGUG
Zingiber officinale is the source of this 522-nucleotide long non-coding RNA. RefSeq lists it as uncharacterized. NCBI's taxonomy places the organism in Eukaryota, Viridiplantae, Streptophyta, Magnoliopsida, Zingiberales, Zingiberaceae. The transcript is spliced from 3 exons. The record is from RefSeq and is a predicted model, not a curated record.